UGAGCAAUCUGCCCUUCUCUUCGGAAUAAGCGUUGGAAACGACGUCUAAUGCCGAAUACGACCUCCUUUCGCAUGAUCGGAGGUGGAAAGCUCCGGCGGAGAAGGAUGAGCUCGCGGCCUAUCAGCUAGUUGGUGUGGGUAAUGGCCCACAAGGCGACGACGGGUAGCCGGCCUGGAGGAGGGCGACCCGGCCACACGUGGGACUGAGAUACCGGCCCAGACCUCCGUACGGGAGGNAGCG
Molecule: ribosomal RNA, 241 nt
Filed under: uncultured bacterium
Lineage: Bacteria
Description: partial 16S ribosomal RNA
Rfam family: Bacterial small subunit ribosomal RNA
Source: RNAcentral